GUCUGGGAUUUCCGAAUGGGGAAACCCACCUGCAUAAGCAGGUAUCUUAGCGUGAAUACAUAGCGCUAAGAGGCGAACUCGGGGAACUGAAACAUCUAAGUACCCGAAGGAAAAGAAAUCAAUUGAGAUUCCGGCAGUAGCGGCGAGCGAACCCGGAGCAGCCCUUAAGCGGCUUAGGCGUUAGGUGAACAGGUUGGAAAACCUGGCAAUAAAGGGUGAUAGCCCCGUAACCGACAGCGCCUUAGYCGUGAAAACGAGUAGGACGGGACACGUGAUAUCUUGUCUGAACAUGGGGGGACCAUCCUCCAAGGCUAAAUACUCCUGACUGACCGAUAGUGAACCAGUACCGUGAGGGAAAGGCGAAAAGAACCCCUGUGAGGGGAGUGAAAUAGAACCUGAAACCGUCUACGUACAAGCAGUGGGAGCCUCUUCGUGGGGUGACCGCGUACCUUUUGUAUAAUGGGUCAGCGAC
Molecule: ribosomal RNA, 472 nt
Filed under: Salinivibrio proteolyticus
Lineage: Bacteria; Pseudomonadati; Pseudomonadota; Gammaproteobacteria; Vibrionales; Vibrionaceae
Description: bacterial LSU rRNA
Rfam family: Bacterial large subunit ribosomal RNA
Source: RNAcentral